GUGAGGAAUAUUGGUCAAUGGGCGAGAGCCUGAACCAGCCAAGUCGCGUGAAGGAUGAAGGUUUUAUGAAUUGUAAACUUCUUUUGCAGGGGAAUAAAGUACGGUACGUGUACCGUUUUGUAUGUACUCUGCGAAUAAGGAUCGGCUAACUCCGUGCCAGCAGCCGCGGUAAUACGGAGGAUCCAAGCGUUAUCCGGAUUUGUUGGGUUUAAAGGGUGCGCAGGCGGGUUGAUAAGUCAGCGGUGAAAGUUUGCAGCUUAACUGUAAAAUUGCAGUUGAAACUGUCGAUCUUGAGUGCAAAUGAGGUAAGCGGAAUGUGUUGUGUAGCGGUGAAAUGCUUAGAUAUAACACAGAACUCCGAUUGCGAAGGCAGCUUACUAAGCUACAACUGACACUGAAGCAAGAAAGCGUGGGGAUCAAACAGGAUUAGAAACCCCUGUAGUCC
This 445-nucleotide ribosomal RNA is filed under the name uncultured bacterium. Its description in RNAcentral is "partial 16S ribosomal RNA". It matches the Rfam family "Bacterial small subunit ribosomal RNA", at positions 354 to 796 of the family's 1533-position model. The record is from RNAcentral.